GGUAACCUUGAGGGAGAUUUGUGAAAAAUUUUGGGUCUCUAAGCUCAUCAAGCCACUUUUUUGUUUGCCGAAUGCCUCGGAUGGUGAGAUUUGCCAUGGAUUCAUCGUGCAGUAAUUCCUUUAUUUACUAGUUUAUCCAGUUAGCUCUACACCUAAAAUGACUCGAGGCAACAUGUUCGGGAGAGCAAUAUGUGGUCAAUGUCGGUAGCUAACCAGGCAAAACCGGAUCGGCUGGGUUGGCUUCGGAAUUUGGGGGCACUCGUAUUUCCCUCCUGCUGGAUCAGAUCUGUAUAAGAACUCUGAUAAGAGUUUUCGCUGGCUCGGUACUGACAGAGGGCUGAGGCAGUUCCAUGCACGCUACCCACACCAACCAACCACCGAAUUUCGGAAUUCGGGGAUACGGUGCCCGAUUGAUCAAGAUCCGCGG
Molecule: small RNA, 427 nt
Filed under: Histoplasma capsulatum
Lineage: Eukaryota; Fungi; Ascomycota; Eurotiomycetes; Onygenales; Ajellomycetaceae
Also listed under: 1 other name
Description: hypothetical RNA
Source: RNAcentral